CACGGGGGGAGCAAGCGUUGUUCGGAAUCACUGGGCGGAAAGGGCGUCUAGGCGGUCGUUCAAGUCGAGUGUGAAAGCCCCCGGCUCAACUGGGGAGGGUCACUCGAUACUGAUCGACUCGAAGGCAGAAGAGGGAAGCGGAAUUCCCGGUGUAGUGGUGAAAUGCGUAGAUAUCGGGAGGAACACCAGUGGCGAAGGCGGCUUUCUGGUCUGCUCUUGACGCUGAGGCGCGAAAGCUAGGGUAGCAAACGGG
RNAcentral lists this ribosomal RNA (253 nucleotides) under uncultured bacterium. Its description in RNAcentral is "partial 16S ribosomal RNA". It matches the Rfam family "Bacterial small subunit ribosomal RNA", at positions 524 to 776 of the family's 1533-position model. The record is from RNAcentral.